Molecule: long non-coding RNA, 18356 nt
Organism: Myotis daubentonii (Daubenton's bat)
Lineage: Eukaryota; Metazoa; Chordata; Mammalia; Chiroptera; Vespertilionidae
Source: RefSeq, a predicted model, not a curated record
GCAGAGGCCUGGCCUCCAGGUCUUUGUUGUGGAUGUUUUUGCCUCCCUAUCCCCAGGGGAAGGGGGAGGGAGAUGGGAAGGGGACACCAAGGAAGCCUGUGGUGCCUAAUGAGGUCUGUAGCAGUAUCCUGAGGUGUUAAUUAGAUUCCACAUAUGGGUGAGAUUGUGUGAUACUUGUCUUUCUCUGACUGGCUUAUUUUGCUUAGCAUAAUACUCUCCAGGUCCCUCCAUGCUGUCUCAAAGUCAAGUCUUUUAAUAUAUAGGUUCUCUGUCUCUCUUAGUUUUUCUUUUAUUUAUUGAAGAAGCCUGGCUAUUUAAUUUGUAGAUUUUCCCUCCAUCUCAAUUUUGCUGAUUACAUCCCUGCUGUCUAGUUUAAUAGGUUCCCCUGUCCCUUGUGUUUCCUGUAAAUUUGUGGUUAGAUACAGAGGCUUGAUUAUAUUUAAUUAAAAAAAAUUUUUUUAAUGUAGCAUUUUUUAACAUGAAUCAAGGAAAGCGCCUCUUUUUUAAAAAAUAUUUUUUUAAAAUUUUUAUUGAUUUCAGAUAGGAAGGGAAAGGGAGAGAUAGAAACAUCAAUGAUGAGAGUGAUUCAUUGAUUGGCUGCAGCCCGGGCAAGUGCCUUUGACUGGAAUCAAACCAGAGACCCGUCAUUGUGCACGCAGUCGCUCUGGCCACUGAGCCAAACCGAGCAGGGCAAUAUAUUUGAUUUUAAAAAGAAUAUUUAAGAAGUAAUAUUUGUACUUUCAUUGGGAGGCACACAGUACCUAGUUGUUUCUCUUUUUGUGACAUAAGGAAUCAUUGAUAUUUAUCACCUAGAAUAAUUAUUUCAGUAGGGCUUGCAAAAUGGUGAUAUUUUGUGUUUCCUUCUGCAAUUGCCAUUUUGAAUAUUUUUAUACCUGGAAACUUCCAGUAAUCAGCUACGUGGUUACUCUGAAAGUCAGUCUAGUUAGGAGAGGCAGGAUAAAUGCUUGAUUGUUUCUCAUAUUUACCAGCUUUCAAAAUAAUGAGUUGGUUUUCUAACAUUCUCCAAAGAUGACUUACGAGGUUUAUUUGUUCUCCUUUUUGUUUUAGUAUCAUAGCACAGUAUGGAUGUUAAUAUGUUUGUUGUGGUGUUCAAAUUGUCCCUUGCCAGUGGGAACUUAUUCAGUAGCCUGCCAAGUCUUUUGGACACAACCUUGUAGACCAAGCAUGUCCAACUUGUGGCCUGCCAGCUGCGAGUUUGACAUGCUUGUUGUACACUUUGAGGGUUUCCCUAUUUCUGGAUGACAAUAGGUUCUAAUCUUAUUUUGUACAUUUCCUGAACCAGACCUAGAGUCAUCCUUUCUCUUAGGGGACCUGGCUCUUUUUAUUGAAAACUCAUAUGUAGAGACCAUAAUCUGAGUCCACAGGAUUCUCACUGCUACUGGGUUGGUCAUUAUUUCUAGGAUUUUUCUAUGGAUUAGCUCUUUUAUUACUCAGAAAUGUGGAAAUACAGAAAAGCAUAUAGCUUGCUGGAUUAUGCAGCCACAACUCAGGUGAUGGUUCCAGAUGCCACCUUCCAAAUUUGGAGUGGAGGCACACUGCCUGACACUUGGGCCAGUUGGGACAUCUCCUUCCUGUUCUAAAGAAACAUGAUUAACAGUCAGGAAGGGGAGAGCCCGUGAGUUAGGCAGUUGGGGAGCUUUGUUAAGAGCUCCCACGUGUGGUAUGCUGGCUAUCUUUCAGAACACUUUAUCCCUCUCUGUCCCAGUCAUUUGUUUUCUAUUCAUUGCACCACCUCCUUCUGCAUUUCAACAUUAUUUCACAAGAGAGAGUCUCAUACGGGAAGAAGAAAGCGAGACUCCAAGCUGGGCUUGCCCAGUCACCAGUCACAUGAAACUGCAGAUGCAAAUGUGGUUGGUGUCUUCCAGGAGUGGCAAGUCACUCAGUACUAAUUAUGGUGUGACUGGAAAGUUAGACAGAGAUCAGCUCUGGGAGGGUUGCAAAAGCUGUAGGAAGUGCUUUUCCCUGAGCGCAGCUGAUGGGAGGGCAAAACCGUGGGACUUGGACUUGAGAAUGUAUUUGUAGUUUUAAAAGCAGAUUGGAGAGAGUCUUCUGAUCAAGGUGGCAGAUGCAGGAGAGGAACAUGACAUUCUUUUCACUCUGAGCAGAAAGUCCUGGCAAUAAACAUCUGGAAACUUGUCUACUGAAAAAAGAAAAGUGAUACAUAAAUGCAUAUGUACAGAAGCCUAUUUCAAAAGAAAAUCAAACUUGCUAGUAAAAUGUUUGUGGUUUCAUUAAGAGCUGAUAAUGCAUAUAAACUUUAGAUGAUUUUGUGGUUUGUUUCUGUGUAAUACGGGAAGUUGUUGGUCAUUGAAUUCAUUGAAUUAGUCAAAAUACUUCCCCAAAGAUUUAAUUUUAAAUCACUUCUGAUAGAGUAAUUUUAUUUUUAUGUGAUAUGGCUUCAUGUUCAUAUUUUAUGUUAUAUGUUUUUUUCUUUUCUAAAAAAUGUAUAUUUUUUCUGCAGUGGUCCAUAUAUCUGUUUUCCUUAUAAUAUGUGGUUAUCUAAGUUAAUAUUUAUGUACACCAUACUUAAUUUGUAAGUUUAAAGCAAAUCUGGAAAAAAUUAAAUAACUUAAAAAAAAGAAAAAGAAAAGACAAGUGAAUUGGAGGAAAGGGCCACAUUGGAGGUGGGGAGAACAUUUUGCAGAGUCUUACAGUAAUCUAGGCCGGAGAUGAUGGCAGUCUGUUCUCAGGCAUUGGCAGGGAGCACUGUGGGGAAACUUUAGGAAGAGGAAUUGAUAGGACUGGAGGGUUAGAUAAGGAGGCUGAGGAAGAAUGAGUCAAGGCUGAUAUCCUCAUCUCUGGCUUAGACAGUUGUGUAGGUGGCAGAGUGAAAUUUGGUGGAAUGUAGAAGGAACAGGUUGGAGAAGGAGAGAAUGGGAUUGAUGGAUCUGUGUUUGAGUGGAGCUGUGGAGGCUUGGGAGACAGCUUGGGGAACCAAGGUAGAAGUGUGGCCAUUGACCCCAAGAGAGUAUAGAGUCAGAAGAGUAGAGGCCCAAGAUGAGACCCUCCCCCAGGAAUGGCUUCAAUUAAGCACGGAUGGGGAAAUGACAGUCCUGCCGGAAGGCCAGAGGCAGCCCCUGAGGGGCGGGUAGCCACCAGAGAGGACCUGAACAAGAAGGCCAGGCAGCCUUCCAUUUGGUUUUGCCAUUCAGAGGUCAUUGGCAACCUUAAUGAGAAUAGCGGAGAGAGAGGCUAAAGCUGACGACAGUGCAUGGAGUGGAUGGGCAAGAGACAGUGUAUACACAGAGCAGAAAUCACUGAUGAGCUCAGCUCAGCCACUGACUGGCUUUGUGACCUUGGGCAAGUCAUUUAUCCUCAGCUGUACAACGGGAAAGUUAAUGAGAGCUCUAUGAGAUAUUGGUGAAGUGUAACCAUGGGGCCUGGGGCAGAGUGAGCAGUCAGGGAAGCCAGCUGCUCCCACCAUGGAGGUUCCCUCCUGUCACACCUCGGAAGCAGGCGCCAUGAUGGGCCUGGAGUGGGUAAUGCAAACAUGUCACACAGGCCUUACUUGGGGGCAGGUGUGCCUGUGUAAUGGGCAGACUGAUGGACAUCAAACAGCAUUGAUGCCCAGCGGGUGUGGCUCAGUGGUUGAGCAUUGACCCAUGAACUAGGAGACUAUGGUUUGAUUCCUGGUCAGAGCACAUGCCCAGGUUGUGGGCUCCAUCCCCCAUUGCGGGUGUGCAGGAGGCAGCCAAUCGAUGAUUCUCGCUCGUCAUUGAUGUUUCUCUCUCUCCCUCUUCUUUCCUUUCUCUGAAAAUACAUAGAAACAUUUUAAAAAGCAGCAUUGAGCCCUAGCCAGUUUUCUCAGUGAAUAGGGCUCAAUGAAGGGUCCUGGGUUUGAUUCUGGUCAAGGGCACGUAUCUCAGUUGCAGGCUCGAUCGAUCACAGGUGCAGGUGGCAACCAAUCGGUGUGUCUCUCUCACAUCGAUGUUCCUCUCAUCUGUCUUUCCCCUCCCUUCCACUCUCUCUAGAAGUCAAUGGAAAAAUAUCCUUGGGUGAAGAUUAACAACAACAACAAAAACAGCAUUGAUGUACAGUAGGUGCAGGGUACAUUUUGGGGCAAUGGGAGCAUUUGAAGAGUGACAGAGGGUAUAUGGUUUCUUUUUGAGGUGAUGAAAUGUUCUAAAAUUGCUUGUGGUGAUGGUUGCACAGCUAUAUAAACAUCCUAAAACCAUUGAAUUGUACACUUAAAUGGGCGAAUUGUAUGGUAUAUGAAUUAUAUCUCAGUAAAACUGUUCCAAAAAAAAAAAAUUAGGCCAAGGAGGCGAGAAGAAGGAAUGGUAUUAGUGCUCUCAGAAAUGUGAAACUGCAUGGAGUGUCAGCGGAGCUUGAGAAAGUGGGAAGAGAGAGUAGAGCACGUGUCAGGGAUGUGCAGGGCUGAGGGAGGAUAGGUACCUCGGCCGCUGCAUGGAAGGGCUUGGGUAUUGGAAGGACAUGCAGCUCAGGAGGGAUGAGGUUAUGAUGUAAAAAAGAGAGAGAGGCCAGAACCGGUUUGGCUCAGUGGAUAGAGCGUCGGCCUGCGGACUCAAGGGUCCCGGGUUCGAUUCCGGUCAAGGGCAUGUACCUUGGUUGUGGGCACAUCCCCGGUGGGGGGCAUGCAGGAGGCAGCUGAUCGAUGUUUCUCUCUCAUUGAUGUUUCUGGCUCUCUAUCGCUCUCCCUUCCUCUCUGUAAAAAAUCAAUAAAAUAUAUUUUAAAAAAAAAAAAAGAGAGAGAGACACACAUAUUCUUCAGUUAGGUGAAAGGUAAUGUGUGGGAAAUGUUGCCUAAGGUUUUCUGUUUAUGUUCUUGUCUGGAAACAUUUUAUGUUCUGUUCUGCUUGUCAAAGGAGAUUAUAUUGAAUUAGUGAGUUUAGAUGACUAUAGCUGGGACAGAACACUAGUUUAGCUCAAUCCAAACUCCCUCAGAGUCAGAUCUGGUCCAAAGCAAGAGAUAACACAGUCCUGACCAUCCAGUGAUCACAGCAAGAGGAAAGAGUUUAGGGCACAUGGGGGGGAAGGGUGUGUCAAAGGCGAUAACUAGAACGAAGGGAACAAGUGUGUUGAGUCUCUGAGCCAUGACACCCUCGGCUCCACACAUAUCUGAAGUUUUCCCAUCAGUAUUUAAGGAUAUGUUGUCCCCUCAGCCCUGGGCAGUGGUAUCACUGCAUGAAGAGACCCCUGAUGCCCCAUGAUCGGACCUGGCAUGGAUCAUCGGUGGUGACCAUACAGCAUUCUGCCUUGUUUGUUCCUCUCCAGCCCCAAAGCAGGGAGGAGGCUAGGGAUAGGCAGGAGGGAGGUCUUGCUGCCAUGAGCCAGCUUGGGCUUGGUCCUUCUGUGGAUGGAGAAGGGAGGAUUUGGGGGUGUGAUGCAACUAGAAAUUUGGUCUGGGGCUCGGGAGGAUGGACUUAGAAGGAGGCAGGCUGGAGGCAGGCAGCUAUUCCAGCUCUCCAGGUGAGAGGACGUGGGCUGAGCUGGGGCAGGCGUGGCAUGCGGGGAGAUGAAGCACUGGGUCACAGACCAGCUUGGGGGAUGAAGCACACAGGAUUGGGCCAGUUUUGAUUAGAUAUGAGGGUGUGAGAGGUUAGAAGUCAGGCUUCUGACUCAUCGGUGACUGGAGCUGUUUCUGAGAUGGGGACCACCAGGAGAGGAGUAGGUCUGGGACAUGGACGAAGUGGUGGAGGAGGAGGUGUUCUGUCUCAGAUGUGCUGAUUGGGAGUGUAUGAGGGAGGUGGCUGUGUGGGCCUGGAGCUUAGGGGAAGUAGCUCUCAAGAUACCAAUCUGGAAAUCAUCAGCACGCUGGCUGGCGGCAGUUCAGCCCACGCCUGGCCAUCUGUUGGCUUGCAGUCAGGGCAGGCCUCUCUUAGAAGCUAGUCCUGCCAGAGGCUGGAGAGCAGGCUCCAUUGUGGGCCAAGUGAACACAAGUGGACACAACCGUGCCUGAUGAGGACACCUGGCAUGGAGCUCAAUUUGGCAAGUGGAGCCAGGAGAGCAACAGCCAGGGAUUCCCCCUCCCGAUGCCUGCUGUGCCGCCUCCUGCAUGACUGGCCAUGGUGAUUUUUGUUUUCUUUUUAACUAAAUAUAUAUGUCUUUAAUUUCUGAAAGUUAAGUUGGUGGAAUGGUGACUCAGUGUGGAUUCUUUGGGGGACAAAUUUUCACUACCUUAUUAACAUUGAUAUAUAUAUAGGUGUCCCCCAAAAAAGGUGUACACACUUUAACAGCUGAUAGCCCAAUUUUGAAAAUUAUUUUAAUAAACACUGCCUUCUAUAAUUAUUCACAUUGUGUGGAUACAUUUUUGGGGGCACACUGUUACUUUAUAGCCUCACUUACAAAUUAUAUCCCCUAGAUUAGCACCAGAUGGCAUGUAUAAAGGUGUUCACGCCAGCCUUGUAGUAGGUAUCAGUAACCUGUUAGAACCAAUGGAAUACCCAUCGACAGGGGUGUGUUAAAUAAACCAUCAUCUAUGCUUACAAGUACUCAAAGUCUGAGCUCCAUAAGUAACCAAUUUAGGAAUACAUUGUUAGGUGAGAAGUUGCAAAGCAUUUUUAAAAAUAUAUUUUUAUUGACUUCAGAGAGGAAGGGAGAGGGAGAGAGAUAGAAACAUCAGUUAUGAGAGAGAAUCAUUGCUCGUCUGCCUCCUGCACUCCCCUCACUGGGGAUUGAGCCUACAACCCAGGCACGUGCCCUUGACUGGAAUUGAACCUGGGACCCUUCAGUCUGCAGGCCGAUGCUCUCUCCACUGAGCCAAACCAGCCAGGGCGCAAAGCAUUAUUAUAAUAUUUUCCCAUUUUAGUAGAAUACUAGGUGGAUGUACAUGGGAGAGCAUUGGAAGCAUAGAUACCAAGUUGCCUAGAGUGGCAGCCUCUGGGAAGAAGGACGGGAAGGCUGGAGGGGAACAUUUCAGUUUCUGCUUUCUGUACCCUUCCAUUGUUUGGAUGAGGAUUUGACUUCGAAUUACAUUCAGAGCUGACUUAGAAAACCUUCUCUUGACACUUGAUGGUGCCUGAGGGCCCAGGCCAGGGCUGGACCUUCACAUCACCCAGGCCAGAGCCACAGGGCCCCUAUUCAGGUACAGCUCCCCUGCUCACCUCUCACCUGGCCAUUUUUCUCUUUCCUUUGUCUCCUCCUCCCAGCCCCACCUCUUGCAUUCCCUUUGCAAGAUUACAUCUUGCACUAGUGUAUAAUUUAGUUGAUGUUAUCUGGGAAGCUUUUUAUGGUCAAGACAGUAACAGUCCACAUGGGAACUGAUAACCCCCAUUUCACCCAGGAGGCUGUGUCAGAACUUGCUUGGGUGGGUGGUGACAUGCCUUUUCAGUGAUUUCUUGGGCCUGGUUUCUGAGAUGGAGCCAGUGUCUGAACUCCUGCCUAGGGCUUUAUUUUGUGUUGUUAAUCCUCACCCGAGGAUAUUUUUUCCAUUGACUUUUAGAGAGAGUGGAAGGGAGGGGGAGAGUUAGGGAGAAACAUCCUUGUGAGAGAGACACAUCUAUUGGUUGGGAGGGGUGGUGGGAGGAUUGAGCCUGCAAUUUAGGCUCAGUGGAAUCAAGGAAUUUAGGUCCUUGACUGGAAUCGAACCUGGGGCCCUUCAGUCCAUAGACCAAUGCUCCGCCCACUGAUCCAAACCAGCUAGGGUACCUAGGGCCUUUGGAAUAGGCCUCAGCAUAGGCAAAUGUCAGCCAUCAGGGCUUUUGAAGAUAAUAAGACUUUCUGGAUAAAUCAGGGUUUCUGGAUGGAAGAGAAGGAAAGGCCCCAACAUUUUAUUUUAUUUUAUUUUAUUAUUAUUGUUUUUUAAAUGAGAUUAAUUUUGUGUGACUUUUUAUUGUUUUGUUUUUGUUUUAAUCCUUACCCAAGGAUAUUUUUCCAUUGAUUUUCAGAGAGAGUGGAAGAGAGAGGGAAAGACAGAGAGAAGUAUCGAUGUGAGAGAAAUACAUCAACUGGUUGCCUCCUGCACAUGUACGGACCAGGGCCUUGGCCAGGGAGGAGCCUGCAACCGAGGUACAUGCCCUUGACCGGAAUCGAACCCGGGACCCUUUGGUCUACAGGCUGACGCUCUAUCCACUGAGCCAUACCGGCUAGGACUUUGUUUUACUUUUUAAAGGGGCAUUUUAUAUAUUUUAUUGAUUUCAGAGGGGAAGGGAGAGGGAGAGAGAGAAACAUCAAUGAUGAGAGAGAAUCAUUGAUAGCUGCCUCCUGCACGUCCCCUACUGGGGAUCAAGCCCGAAACCUGGGCAUGUGUCCUUGACCAGAAUUGAACCCGGGACCCUUCAGUUUGCAGGCCAACGCUCUAUCCACUGAGCCAAACCAACUAGGGCCCAACACUUUAUUUUAAACAUUCUGCAUAAAACACUUCUAGGAUGUAUUACUUUUCUUUUCUCUUUUCUUAGCAGCACACACUAAACAUAACGGAGCUGUUUCCCAUGAGGGCUGUUAGACUUGCAACGAGAUGGAACAGAACUGUCCCUGAGGGCCCAGUUCUGCUUCCAAUAGUUUUGUACCUGGGCCCCCUGUCAGGCUACCCCCUCAUCCUUCCCGCCGUGGUCAGAGUGCCUGAUACAGCACCCAGACCCCUUUUCUAACUUGUGGCUGUUCUUGUGCUCUGAGCUCUGCUGCCACACACAUUCUAGUUUGUUAGGAGGGUCUACAUCAAAAAUGAACGUGAUGUAAUUGUCUCUCUUGUGAAUCAUCGGUGCCUGCUCAGGGCCCUAGGGCCUCUCCGAGUUGCCUUUCUUGGGUUCUGUGUGAGGCCAAGCAUCAGGCAGACCAUGCUCCCUUUCUGGCCAGCUGCCUGAUGCUAAGCAUGUGGUUUAAGCCGUGGAGCUUAUUUGCUCCCCUGUAAAAUGAAACAAAUUAUUUGCAGGUUGUUAGGAUUCAGCAGCACAGUGCCUAGUGAGUGCUCAAUAGGUAUUUGUAUGAUUGGAUGAGUGACAGUGCUUUAUUGGUAUUGGCAGGGGACUAGGCUUUGAGGUGCAGAGGAGAAGCUGAGAUCCCCAUUUUAGAGGGGUGUGCCAUGUCCUCGGUUGUCCUGUUUCUGGGUGAUUAAACUGUGUGUGUGUGUAUUUAUUAUCCUCACCUGAGGUCAUGCUUAAAGAGAGGAAGAGAGAGAGAGAGAGAGAGGGAGGGAGAGAGAGAGAGAUAUCAGUGGUGCUUCCCAACUGGGGAGCAAAACCUGCACUCCAGGCAUGUACCCUGACCGAGAAUCAAACCAGCAACCUUUUGGUGCGCUGGGUGAUGCUCAACCAACUGAGCCACUCUGGCCAGGCAGCACUUGAUUUUUAAAAAAAAUAUAUUUUAUUGGUUUUUUACAGAGAGGAAGGGAGAGGGACAGAGAGUUAGAAACAUCAAUGAAAGGGAAACAUCGAUCAGCUGCCUCCUGCACACUCCCUACUGGGUAUGUGCCCGCAAGCAAGGUACAUGCCCUUGACCGGAAUCAAACCUGGGACCCUUGAGUCCGCAGGCCGAAGCUCUAUCCCAGGGGUGGGCAAACUUUUUGACUCGAGGGCCACAAUGGGUUCUUAAACUGGACCGGAGGGCCGGAACAAAAGCAUGGAUGGAGUGUUUGUGUGAACUAAUAUAAAUUCCAAGUAAACAUCAUUACAUAAAAGGGUACGGUCUUUUUUUUUUUUUUUUAGUUUUAUUCAUUUCAAACGGGCCGGAUACGGCCCGCGGGCCGUAGUUUGCCCACGGCUGAGCUAGAUAAAGGGACUUGGAAACUUGGGAGGGUCUGGCCAAGCUGGAGAACAAGAGUGUAGAGGGCUGAGGAGACGCAAGCUUCCUCUUCAUCCUCUUCACUCUUGUGCCCCAGAAGCCUCUGUCUCCACCAGUGCAAGGCAGACCAAUCCCUCCUGACCAGACUCAAGCCCACCUCAUCUCCAUUUUGGCUUUCCCAGACUCAUGUCCACCUCGGGCCUGUUCCCUCUUUAUGUCACAUUCCUACUUGGCUGUGUGGCUGCCUGCAGUCUACUCCCUCGGGGAUCGUUGUCUGCGGGAGAUGCAGACCAGGAGGCGGAGGCAGUGAUUCAAUUGGAGAGGUGUGUUGAGAGGGAGCUAGAGUUAGAGGGUGACAGUGCCAUCCUCCAUUUGGCCACAAGAUGGUGCACCAGGACCGCUCAGCUGCCGGAGAGCUGGGUUAGGGGUUGUGGCUGGAACAACCAAGCUGUGCGGCAGCCAAGCUAGGUCUCCUCGGCUUUUCUGGACAGCACCUGCCUGUGGUCGUUGUCCCCCAGGUCUCUUCCCUGAGCCCUACUUCCUUCACCCAAGUCCCAGUUGACCGUCUUAGAUUAAGCAGGGCUCGUGGCAUGGUGUCUUCCUGUCUGUCCAUCCCUUCUUAUCCUCAUCUCCCUGUGCUUCCUGGGUUGGGAAGGGGAAGGCCAGGGGACAGUUCCCUAGUGCGCUCUGCCUUGGUGUCCAGGGCAGCUGCUCCAGCCUUGACCUCAAGCUGUCCUCACUUCCCUCCACCUGGGUCAUGCUGGCAGCUCUCAGAGUCAGAGCAGCAGCUACAGCAGUGUGCUUGCCAGCCAUGAGCCAGGGGUGUGGGGGCACCAAGUAGGAGCUUGAGGCUGUCAGGAGGUCAGGGCUAUUCUUUCUAGGUUCCCAGCGGCACCACCCCACUCUGGUCCUCCCACUGUGGUCCCUCCAGGAGAGGGAAAAGCCAUCCUCAGGACAGACCCCCCAACCUCCUUCAGCGCUCUGGGGGACAUGUGGAAUGUAUGUGGCAGGUACAUGCGUAUAAGGUGACAUGGAAAGAGGUCCAAACCAGGUACCCCAAACUCUCUAUAGGUACUCUAGGUACACACAUCAUGUUACAAUGGGGCUGUUAUCAGGUGAAUGACAAUUCUCCUGCACCCCAACUUUGUGGGGGGGGUGCUUUCUAUUGGCCUCCUUGGCUCCUGCCUCAUUCAGCACCUACUGCUUGGAUGAUUUUUUUAGAAAAAAAAUCUAUGUACUGGAAUAUUGGCCUUCCUCCUCUGUUAGAGUAUGAAGAUCAAGGGCCUGAAGGGCCACUUAGUAGGCCAGGCUGCUAUUGCACAGCCUGGUGCCCACUCUGCCUGUCUGCACCCAGCACUCUGCAGCGUGAGGGGCGGGGCUGUGUGCACACAGGUGGUCCUGAGGAGUGGCAGGCAGGACUGUGGCAGGGGAAGGGGGUGUAUGGAGGAACAGCUCUGACUCGGUGUUGGGCACUGCUUUUCUGGUCCUUGGCAUUUGCCCAGACCUUGGCCACUCAGGCAAUGGUUUCCAGGCCUUGACCUCAGCUGAGGCUUCGUGUUUGGUUGGCGGAUGGGGCUUUCCCCUCUGAGGAGUCAUCUGUGGUGUCCUCGCUGCUGCUCUUUUCUGCGGGCCCUGCUCUGGUGGCUGCUAGAGGCUCCCCAGCCCCGGGCCUCUCCUGCACCUGCUGGCAGUCCUGCCAGGGCUGCCCCAUUGGUACCCAGGCCUCUGGGCUCAUCUCGAGCUCCUGAGUUACCCUCAGGGGCUGGGGUUGCAGAGAGUCAGUGUGAUCCGGGCCUGACGAGGUAAAGAUCAGAGCUGGCCACGCCCCUGGAGGUAACCUUACUCAACCCUCUUAUUUUACCUGGGAAACUGGGUCCAGGUGAGGCCCAUGGGCUUGCCUAUGAUCUCCUGAUCUCCUGACACCGUCUUGGCUCCUCCUGUGCAAUCCCUACAUUCUCGGAUGCAAUCCUUCAUUUGUUCACUGAAGGAUUAGGCCUCUGUGUGCUCGGCCCCCAACUCCGCGCAGUCAGAGAGGCCCUGCUUCUGGGGCCCUUGUAGUUACUACCCCAGGCCUUGCCACAUGGUGUCUAGCUUGGAGAUUAAAGGGUUGGGAGACGGGGAAUAUGGGUGAGCCACAGCCUGUGACCUGGCACAUAGGGCCCUAAGUCCAGAAAAUGGGGUUGUGGCUUCCCCAUUUCCCCUGAUCCUCAAACCUUUAAGCCCAGGGGAACUGAGGGUUCUGGAGGUAAUCUUUCAGGCCUGGCCCAGGCUCCAUGUCAUUGCCAUUCCUCCACUGCUUACAUCAUUCAGACCUAGCUGCUUCUAUGAGGCAGCCUGAGCAGGCGACCACCCCUCUCCCAGGGGCUGGCCUGGGUCCACAGUGCUGACCACACUUAAUUGAGGGGUCUGGGGUCCUAUACAGGACCAGCUUGGAUGCCUACUGCUCCUGCCACUUCCUGCCUGGCUCAAGCCUCCUGGCUCUGCUGGGCACAGGUAUGGAAUGGAUCAGCUCUGCUCCUGGCCUGGGCUGCACACACCAGUUUCUGUGAGCGGCAGGGGAUGAGGCUUCGUUCUGAGAGCAGCAUGGCUCGCAGCCCCAGAUGAGGCUCGAUCCUAUAAGCCCAUCCUUGAGGCCUAAGUCUAAACAAAAUGAAUAUUUCCAUGGCUUUGGUUCUAGGCACUGUGGAGCUGGCAGGAUGCUCCAGCCAGGACCCAGCCUGACCUGGCUUCAUCUCACUGUGAGCAGCCUCUGGGAGCCAUAAAACUGCCCUGCCCCCAUGCAAGGGAGCUGCCGCUUUCUUUAGUGUCUUUCCUUAGCGUAGAACAGAAGCCCAGCAUCCAGGGCUGGCAGGGCUGCUCAGGCGCUGAGGGCCAGCAGACCCAGGAGCCACCCAUGGCAUGGGCCAGCUUUUCAGCAAGCUCAUUGCCACCGCUGGCCUUCCCUGGGCGGCCUGGCACCUGGCCACUCCGGACCACUUUACCUCUCUCCCUCCCACUCAGGCCAACUUCCAUCUUCGGGGAAAUGACAAGAAGCUCUUCCUUGCAGCCCCAGAUUCACUGCAGCCUCCAGGUUCUAUAACUGCAGUGGCAGACCUGGAGAGGAAAGAGUUCACUCAAGGUCAAAGUACGUGGCAGCUGCAGAGGUGUGGCCCCUGCCUUCCAGGGUGAGGCUGGGUCUCCUGAUUCCCAGGCGGGGCUGUGGCAGAGCAACACAUAGGGAAGCUGCCCUUCCAGUCCUGUGUCCUGAGACACGUCCUGUGGAGCCAGGGUGGGGUGUCCCGGUGAGGGGCUAUUCGACGGUUCUCCGGAUCUCCGUGCAGGCAGAGAACUUCUUGGAACUUGCCCUGGGUGCAGCUGUAACCAGUUCUGCCCCUCCCUUUGGCACAUGGGACUGUUCCCUACCUGGCACCCUCCUGACUGUUGGAUAGGUUGACUUCCUCAUGGGAUAUGAGCGAUGCUUUCAUUCUUCCAGCCACAGGGACGAGGUGUUCUGGAGAGCAUGAGGGCAAUUAAAUGUGGCUCUGCUGUCACCUGCCACCUGUCUCAGAGCGGGGAGAAGGGUGGUGAACUGGGUCAGACAUCCUUCUGCCUCCUGGACAUGGGGAGUGACACUCCCAUUCAAUCCCUGUAUCCGAUAUGCUGCUGGUGGGUGGUGUCACUGGCCCCAGAUAUCAGCUGGGCCACCUCUGCAGAUCAGUCCCAUCCCCUUUUGCAAAUGCUUCACCUCAUUGAAAGGCCUCAGGCAUGAAAUAGAAUGCUGGUUCAGGGGCCGAGGAAGGAGAACUCCUGGCCUCUCGCUGCAGGAGCUCUGCCCUGCACCAGCUGAAACCCAGUAGCUUGCAUGCGGCUGUGCCAGCAGUAGACUCCAGGUUCUUCCCAAGACUGCUGGCCCGCCAGCCCGGGGGCUUCCCAUGGAGCAAAGGUUGCCCUUGGCUGUACCUCCUGCCUGCUCCUGUGGCCCCCAGGGCGGCCGCUCCAGGGGUAGCAGGUGGUGCAGAGUUAGGUCCUACCUCUGCCGAGUCCCUGGGGCUGCCCAUAGCUCUGUGUGAUCUUGCUGGUAGGUGAGGUGACAUGUGGGCUUGGGGACAGGAGUCCCAAAUUUCAAGCCAGCUCUGUUGCUCCUUUGCCAGGAGAGAGCAGAGUAGGGCCUAUGUGUUUGCAUGCCCAGGCUGCACGAGGCCCCCGCAGUCUUCAUGACAGGGAGGAGAACGUGCUUGAGCCUGUGGGGCAGAAAGGGACCACGGGAAGCAAGGGCAGAGGCAUUCUGUGGAGCCCUGAGUAGGACAGCCUGAGCAACAGCCUGCAGUCAAGCACCCAGCACCUGCCAGGGGCUGAGGGUUUUAGCUGGGAAGCUCUGGGUGGGAUCCUUUCUGCCCGGAGAGAUGGACUGUGGGAGGCUGGGCUCAGUCCUCUCUGUAGCACUGCCUCUGUUCAGGGUCUGUGGCGGGUGCCCUGGGAGGCGGGCACUAUAGGGACCUUCACUGGGUGACCAGCCUGUAGCCUGGGUUCAGAGAGAUUCCACAGGCUGCUCAGGGCCAAGCUGUGAGAUAGGAUUCAAACCCAGGAGACUGGCUCCAAAGCCCAGGUUUUCUCCCCUGCCCCACUGAGCCACCUAAGAAGUAAUAUCCUGAGACCAGUGAUCCAGCAAAACGGGGCUGCAGAGGAAGCCUGGUGCUGUAGCGACCAGCAGGGAUGACGGGUGGGCCCUGCACUGGCCAGGGCAAGAGGCCAUGGGCAUCUUAGCUGGAGGCAGGGGCAGUGCCAAAGCUCUGGACGGGGAAUGGCAGGCGGCACCCGAGAGAGGGUAAGAGGAACUGCAUUUGACAGGAAGAGUUGGAACUCGGUUAGUUGGUAUUGCAUGAGGUCUGCAGGGAGUCUGUGAUGUGCUCUGGCAGAGGCCUGGAGGCGAAGAGGAUGCUUAGUCUGUGCUUCAGGCCGCAGGUAAAGCCAGGGUUAAUGGUUUCCAUGCUGUGGCUCCCACACUGGGAGCUCCAGAUGUAGUGCUCUGACCCUGCAAGCCAGGCCACCAGUGUACACAUCUGCUUUGGAGCUGAUAUGAAGAAGAGGUCUCACCCACCCCCAGAGCCUGGGGAGGAGACUCAGGCACAGCACAUUCGUUGAGGGUGGGGGGGCCCUGGCUCCGUCGGGCCACCAGCCUGGCCAUCUGGUCACAUCUGUGCAUCUGUUUGAGUUUCCCUGCUUUGAGCCCCCAAAGUUGCAGCAUCAGAGAGUCUCAGGGGGCAGAGUGAGUAUUGGAGCCAGAGCCCAGGUCCGGUCCCUUCAAAGCAGACCCCUCACCUGGGCAGGGGAGAGGUAUAACCGGCCACAGUGCCCUGCGCCCUCACAGGGAGUGGCAGGAUGGGCACACUAGGUUCUAGGGAGCAUGUCUGCACAUCUGGUUUCACUCAGCGGGCCGCAAUUCCUGAAAACCCCUGAGCUCCCCAGGAGAGUGUUGCUGAGUGACCUCUGGAAAAGCAGAAGUGAAGUCUGGGAACACGCUGUCCUCUCACACUCUGCCGUGGCCAGCUGGCCAGCAGGGUCCCUCCGUGGGCCAUGAGGCCAUGGGUGAGUCUAGAGCAGGGGGCUGCCCCGCCUAGGAUACUGUGCCAGGGGUUGCCUCUAUGCCUGUUGGGUUCCUGGACUGCGUGGGGCCAAGACCCUCCCUUUCUGUCUUCCUGGGGCCCUUAGGAAGGGGCUGCAGAGGCAUGGGGGCUAGCGAGGCCACGUGCCUCCUGCCCUUGGGAGCUCUGGAGGGGCUGAAAGAUCACUUUCAGGGCUGGCAGGAUCUGGGAAAGCUUUCAAAAAGUGGAUGGAGAGCAGGGCUGCCCAGCUGCCACCUCUCAAGGCUUGGCUAGGGCUGGCUGCCAAGCCCACACUUGGUCCUGCAGAGAGUGCAGAUCAGGCUAGGGUUCCCCAGGCCCCCUCUUAAUCAAGGGCUGGAGUAGUAAUCAGAGGUGCCAGCUGGGGUCAGGGCUUUACCACUGGGGGGGUCCUGGACCAGAAGACCUGGGUUGAGGAGUAGACAGGAGGAGGCAGGACAGAUGGAAACUGCAGGGCCAGCUUGAAUCUGGUGUGGUCCUACCUAGGAGCCCUGGGAGGAAGAGCCACGCCAGUUGGUGUUGGGCUGCAGCCUGCCCAGGCACCUUCGGAGAGCUCAGCUGGGCCCUGCUGGAGCCGCAGCCAUGGUCUCUGACACAGGCAACCGCAGGGUGGACAGCAGUGCCCGUGGAAGAGGAGGGGCAGGCGCUCUCACUUUCCAGGCUGGGGGUGUGCCCUCCAGUUCGGCUGCUCUGGCUGGGCCUGAGGAAGCAGCCCUGUUUCCUGCACUUCAAGGGCUUCUUUCUAGGGCAUCAUCCUGUGGACUUCCCUGGAGCACUUGCUGGGGGCAGAGGUCACAGGCAGGCCCCCGUAGGUGGAGAAUAGCCCUGGUAGGGCCCAGGAGUCCAGGGCUGAGGCUGAAGCAGUGCUAGGACUGAGGGCAUGGGGCCUCAGGCUGUGGGGAGGUGGCAGGGCUCUAGCUCUGGGGUCACGGGGCUGCUGGGUAAAGGUGACUAACGCGUAUGAGGACUUCAACCUUAUAAUGGUGAAGAGAAUGGACUUGGGAGCAGGAGCCCAGCACAAGGGCCCUGUGGUGGUGGUGAGGUCGCCUGGGUUGCACCCGGAUCUGGAGUUGGGGGAACGUCACCAGAACGUCAGGACAGGCAGCACUGGGCAGUGGAAGAGGUGUGGGAAGGUCCUGGGCAGGGUGAGGAGUGCCGAGGAGCAGGCCCACGGCCCUCAGGCGAGGCCGGCGGCACUGGCUUGUGUUGUUUGGCUUCCUUUGUGGAGGGAUGUAGGUCAGAAUGCAGAGUGAACUUCUGAUAGCAGCAGCACCUUCUUGGGCAUGAGAAAUCGGCCUCUGAGGAAGCCUUUUACUGUGAGAUCCAAGCUGACCAGACAUUCUUGGUGCCAGGCCACGGAUGGGAGGGUUUGGGGUAGACAGCUGGGCAUGUGGGUAGACCGGUGCGGUACCCCGAGUCUGUGCUCACCAGCACACUGCGCAGCUUCAGCCCAGGCAUGUCUGGGGCUCUCUGGGGCCAUCCCUGGGGCUGUCAGGCUGCUGAGCUCAAGGCGCAGAGCAGAACUAGCCCCUGCCUUCCCAGAGCCCCUGGCGUCCUCGGCUGCCCUCGGGGGCUGGGCCAGGGCUGGGUGGCCAGGUCUCCCACGAAGCUCUCAACAAGUUCCAGGCCUCUCCUCCUGUGCUCAGAUCCCACCCCCCAGUCACACCCCCUCCUCCUCACGUCCCUCUGAGGGAGCAGGAAGCUGAGGGUGGGGGAUGGGGUGGGGAGGUUUCUAACGGGCCUUGUCCAGCCCUGAGGACUGUCCAAAGGGCUUGGGGCUGCCAGCCACGGCCCAGCCGCCAGCUUCUCGGAUAGGGUCAGAGCUGGUUCAGAAGCCCUGUGUGGGCCCAGCUGAGGGAUCCAAGUCGCCUUCCUGGCUGGCAGGCUGUCCCCUCUCCUUGGGUCACAGGGAGACACGAGGCUUGGCCAGGGAAAGUGGUCUGGAACGGCCCUUCGACAGUGUCCCUGGGGACUUUUAAAAAUGAGUUUCCUGGUAAGGAAGACUCUUAGGCCUUGGGCAGGAUUCUCGGUAGAGUCUCCCGGGUUUGCUCUGAUCUGACAAACGCCAGCAGAAACCACCCGGCUGUCUGCCUUCCAGCAGUGCUGGGAGCCGUGGCUUCCCCAGAUGCAGCGUCAGCAAAAUGAAGCAGCCAAGGCACAGGGGUUUGCUUUAAGGCCCGUGCUAAGCCUGGGGAGGGGCGGGAGGAGGGGGCAGCAAAGGACAGCCCACCCCUCGGCUUUACUCUCCAGGUUAAAUGCACACGUCCUUAGCUUCUCGAGGAAUGGCUGAUACAAGUGAUGCCAGAGAGGCUCGCCAAUGAGUCAUGACAGGCCAAGGCCUCUGUCAGGUGGACAGUGAGUGUCCAGGCUGCCUCUGAGGUCAUGGGGUGCCAUCCAGAGAUGCAGGUGGAGGCUCUGGCCUCUCUGCCACCUGCCAGCUUUUGUGGGACUAAAGUCUGUCUGGGCGGGUAGGUGCAUAUUUGGAAGGCCCAUCCUGGGCCAAGGGCUAUGGGAGAAUGUGGUCAAGGAUGCAAAGGGAGGAGAGGAGACCAGAGUUGGGAUGGACAGAAUCCAUGAGGCCUGAUCCACAUCUCAGCCCCUCUGUGUUUGUCUGUUGGACUCUGGUCAGUUUUCAGAUUCGCUCUGACUUCUGUUGUCUGAGUCGGUGAAAUGGGCAUGCCUGGGAGGCCCAGCACACACGUUGCUCCUGGCAGGGGCUAGGUACUCACCAGGGCCUCGUCUGUUUCCAGUUAAAGUGGGUGUUGCUUCCCCCUUAUGUUGGGGGUGCUGACUCCCACCUGGCCAGGGCCAGGUGUUGGAUGGAGUCAGUGGGGGUUGGAGAGGGGAGAGGGUGAUUGGCGGUGGGGGAGUUGUAGAGUAAGGGAAGGGGAGAGAAGUGGACAGGUUUGGGCCAGGCUUAGCUUCCAGCUACUGUCUGCUCAACAGCCUCCCCUAGUGGGGAUUUGAGCAUCUGCAUCUGCUGUACCCAGGCCAGAACACCCGCCCACUUUUCUUUCAAGUAUCACAAUACUUUUUGAGAGAUGAAAGUAUAUAAAA